Molecule: ribosomal RNA, 485 nt
Filed under: uncultured bacterium
Lineage: Bacteria
Description: bacterial SSU rRNA
Rfam family: Bacterial small subunit ribosomal RNA
Source: RNAcentral
GGCUCGAGGACGAACGCUGGCGGCGUGCCUAACACAUGCAAGUCGAACGGACGAGAGGAGCUUGCUCCUCGAGUUAGUGGCGAACGGGUGAGUAACGCGUGAGCAACCUGCCUUUCAGAGGGGGACAACGGUUGGAAACGACCGCUAAUACCGCAUGAUGCAUUCUGGUCGCAUGAUCGGGAUGCCAAAGAUUUAUCGCUGAAAGAUGGGCUCGCGUCUGAUUAGAUAGUUGGUGGGGUAACGGCCUACCAAGCCGACGAUCAGUAGCCGGACUGAGAGGUUGAACGGCCACAUUGGGACUGAGAUACGGCCCAGACUCCUACGGGAGGCAGCAGUGGGGAAUAUUGGGACCAAUGGGGGAAACCCUGACCCAGCAACGCCGCGUGAAGGAAGAAGGCUUUCGGGUUGUAAACUUCUUUACCAGGGACGAAGGACGUGACGGUACCUGGAGAAAAAGCCACGGCUAACUACGUGCCAGCCGCCGC